GAUGAACGCUGGCGGCGUGCCUAAUACAUGCGAGUCGAGCGAACAGACGAGGAGCUUGCUCCUCUGACGUUAGCGGCGGACGGGUGAGUAACACGUGGAUAACCUACCUAUAAGACUGGGAUAACUUCGGGAAACCGGAGCUAAUACCGGAUAAUAUAUUGAACCGCAUGGUUCAAUAGUGAAAGACGGUUUUGCUGUCACUUAUAGAUGGAUCCGCGCCGCAUUAGCUAGUUGGUAAGGUAACGGCUUACCAAGGCGACGAUGCGUAGCCGACCUGAGAGGGGGAUCGGCCACCCGGGGGCUGAGACCCGGCCCAGCCUCCUACGGGAGGCGCAAGUGGGGAAUCUUCCGAAAUGGGCGAAAGCCUGACGGAGCACCGCCGGGGGAGUGAGGAAGGUCUUCGGAUCGUAAAACUCUUUUAUUGGGGAAAAACAAAUGUGAAAGUAACUAUCCACGUCUGGACGGUACCUAAUAAGAAAGCCACGGCUAACUAGGGG
Molecule: ribosomal RNA, 497 nt
Filed under: uncultured bacterium
Lineage: Bacteria
Description: partial 16S ribosomal RNA
Rfam family: Bacterial small subunit ribosomal RNA
Source: RNAcentral